CGCCGGGAUUGAAAUUCUUCCCGCUCCGAAGGCGGGGCCAGACCGGAGCAGUCGAUCCGUGCGAGUCCGCCCAGGCAGAAGCAAUCCACAAAGCCUGCGAAUUUGCGGAUUUGGUCCGCCGCGAUUCUUGGAGGGUGAGCAGUAGGCAGGUCGACCAGAAGUUUUAUGACUGCCGAGUGUAGCCCAGUGUGGGAACCUUAAAAAGAAGCUGGAAAUGCCCAUUGAAGCUGCAGAAUGCAUCCAAAAGAGCUGAAAUCAGGAUCUUGAAGAGAUAAUCUACAAUCCAACCUUCAUUGCAGCAGCAUUCACAGUAGCCUAGACAUGGCAACAAUUCAAAUGUUCAUUGACAGAUGAAUGGACAAAGAAGGUGUGGUACAUACAUGCAAGGGAAUAUUAUUCAGCCUUAAUAAAAGGAAGGAAUUCCUACCAUUUGUGACAACAUGGAUGCACUCGGAAGACAUGCUAAGUGAAAUAAGUCAGGCACAGAAGGACAAAGGCUGCAUGAUUCCACUUACAUGAAGUUUCUAAAAUAGUCAAACUUAUAGAACAGAAAAUAGAAUGGUCGUUGCCAGGGAAUGGGGGAUGGAGAUAGAGGGAGUUGUUUAAUAGGUAUGAAGUUUGUUAUGUAAAGAUGAAUAAGUUCUAGAGGUCAGCUGUACAACAGAGUGCCUAUAGUUAAUAAUAUACUGUUGCGUGCUUAAAAACUCAAGGGGGUAGAUCUCAUGUUGAAUAUUUUUACCACACACACAAAAGCAAAGGGACACAGGAAACGUUUGGAAGUGAUGAACAUGUUAUUUCCUUGAUAAAGGUGGUGAUGGUUUCAUGGAUACAUGGAUAUAUCCCAGCUCAUUAAAUGUAUGUAUUAAAUAUGUAUGAUUUUUUAAUAAUGUAUUGAUUAUAUCUCAAUAAAACUGGAAAAAGAAAGGUAAGAUAUAUAAUUUUAUGAAUGCUCUUUGGUCAGUGCCCUGAAUCAUCAGCUCUGUACACUCCUGAUGCUUUUGACAUGGAAAUCUCUGUUUAAUGCUAAAAUAUAAGACCAAAUAAAAUAUUCACUCCCUAUUUUAAGAUGAAAAUAUUAGGGUUUCUUUAAAAAAAAUGAGUCAGUUCCAUUCACAGUAGUCAAAAGAUGGAAGCAACCCCAGUGUCCAUUGACAAAUAAAUGGAUAAACAAAAGCGAUGUAUUUAUACAAUGGAAUAUUAUUCAGCCUUCAAAAGGAAGGAAAUUCUGAUACCUGCUCUAACAUAGAUGAACCUUGAGGAACAUUAUGCUGAGUGAAAUAAGCCAGUCACAAAAGGACACAUUCUGUAUGAUCCACUUAUAUGCAGUACCUAAAUUAGUCAGAUUAAAGAGACAAAAAAUAAAAUUUUUGUGAUUGCCAGCGACUACAGGACCAGUGUGUUCGUUAGUAUAUGCAGAGUUUCAGCUGGGGAAGAUGAAAACAUCCUGGAGAUGAUGGUAAUGAUGGUUGCACAAAAAAUGUGAAUAUACUUAAUGCCACAGUAUUACUUAAUGUACACAGAGCAUAACAGAAUGAACUUAAUGCUGCUGUACACUUAAACUUGUUGAAAUGGUCAUUUGUUACACACAUUUUACCACUACAAAAUUUUAAUGAAAAAAACCCGAGUCAGUGCCAGACUAACUGAGAAUCGUCCAUGUCUUACAUUCCGUGCUUUUCCCCUCCACCUGUCCGUCAUAUAGUAGAUGUGUUUUGAUUUGCAUUCUCACUCAAUCCAUGGUCCUAUACAUGAAGGAUUCCCUGGCUUCAGCUCCUAUUGUUUGAAGGGGGAGAUUCUGAAACAUGGGAUCCCAUUUUCCCUCCAUCCCUGGAUAUAGCUGAUUGGUUGGGCAGACCUCUGGUCCAAGCAGAACAGGACUUGGGGACAUGGCUUGAAAAGUUGAGCAGAACUAAUCAGAUUCCUCCCUAUUUACUCUCAUCGACACAAAUUCUAGCUGCAGUUGGCACUGGAUACUGGGGUGGAGAAAUAGAGAAACAGCAUGGGGGAGAAGAGGCUGAGAAGGACCCUUCAGGAUUGCUGAUUCAGCCUUCUUUGGAUCGCACAAGGACUACAUUCUCAUAAUAGAGCUACUUGGACAGGAUUUUUUCCCCCAACUCCCUAAAGCCAAUUUCUCUCACUGAGAAAUCUGCUGUGGUUAGAAUCACUUGAUAAAAUUGGAUUUUAUCCACAUAAUUUUUAUUGUCAUAAAAAUAAACCCUGGGAAAUCACAUAGCCUACAGCAGAGGUUCUCAGCAGGGGGUGACUGCUUCUCAGGGGAUAUUUGGUUCUGGUUGUCAGACUAGGAAGGGAAAGGUAGGUAGGUGCACUGGCUUCUAGUGGGUAGAGACCAGGGUUCUGCUAAAAAUCCUGCCAUGCGUAGGACAGUUGACUGCAAUGGGCAAUUAUCCAUUGCACAAGGUCAAUAGUGGUGAGUUUGAAAAACUCUGCCGUAGAGGAUUGGAGUCUGUUAACUAUGCACAAGAAUUUAUUCAGACCUUUAAUUUCUUGAACUGAAAAUAUUUAAAAGUAUCUGCAACCUCUGAGACGGAGGUGAUGGAGGACAUGAGUUGUUUUGCUUGCUCAGAAUCUACUCCCUGUUGAUUUGUCCUUAAGGAACCACCUUUCCCCGUUCUUAGUCCAUGUGGUUUCUGCGAGGUUGACCUGGGUGGAACUCACAGAACUCAGGCUGGCCAAUCAGAAUGGCACCUCCCAACCCAAUCCUCGGUGGCGACUAGGGUAAAGAGAUGGGUGUGUAAGUAAACAUGACCAAUCCCAGGACUAGAAGCAUGCUUUUCUAGUGGGGGACGCUGGGAAGGUAACUGAACUGCUGGCCACCGAGAGGGGAGCACCUGCUGAACCUGGGAGCCCACGGAGACACGUGAGCUGAGAGGAGGGGUGAGUAAGGCUGGUCCUCUUUAAGGCACUGGAUCUAGCUAGGCCAGAGCCACCACUUCGGUUUCCAGGGCCGUUGAGCUCGUAUAGUGCAAUUUUAAUUUGAGACACUUGAAGUUGCGUUUUUGUCACUUCAUACUGAAAGCGUGGCCUAGAUGACAUCUCUGUCGUAGGUUUAGCAAAGCAUAGGAAAGGCUCCUAUCAAUAUAUAUAAAAUAUUGAUACUAUCUGGAAGUCUUGCUUUCGUUUUUCCCAACCAAAGAUCCACAUACCUCACUCCACCCUACCUUCCUUCAUUCCCUGUUGAUUUCCUCCCAGUAUCCUCUCCUCUCCCAGCUGAGCCGCAGUCAUUAUUGCCUUCAGCACUUCAGCCUGCAUUUCCCUCUCUACCAGUGUCUACCUGCAGGUCUCAGGAACUGAAUGUUGGCUCGUGUUUACUGAGCACCUAUUAGGUGCUAUACACGGAGCCAAGUGCUGCAUAUGCAUGGUCUGAUUUGGACUGCAUAACAACCCUCUGUAUAAGGGACUUUAAAAUUAUUUUUCUCAUUUUACAAAUUAGGAAUUUGCCCCAAAUUGCAAAGCUCCUAAGAGGUUGACCUGGGAUUCAAACAUAAGUCAUUUGGGUUCCAUGGCCUGUGCUCCUGACCACUAUAUCACUCUGCCAUCUAUUUUUUUUUUUUUUAGAAAGAUCAAUUUCUUAAGCCAAAAAAAUACUCCAUGGAAUUGAAUCAAUACAUUUCUGAGUCAUUCUUGCCCCUAGGCUUAGAUAUGAAGAAAGCUGCAACUUUUCUGUAUCUAUGAACUGGUUUUUAUAAUCUUAAGGCAUUUUCUAAUCAAAUACAGGUUCCCAAAGUUUCCACAAAAGGAAAUAUAACUUCCAUAGUUCUGGGCCAUUCGGCCUGCUGUGCAAGCUUUUAAAUCACUGAUUGACAAUGCAUAGGCAAUGCUUAGUAAUAUAUGGUCCCACAUGGCUUUGUGUCAGCAUUUCUGAGUCAUGGCUGGGUACCUGUAACAGCCAAGUAACAUGUGCUCUAAUAGGGUCUGACUCACUUGUGAAGCUCCAUUAACUUGACAGUUUGAUUUCAUAAAAUUGAAAAGGACUCAGCUUUGGUUUUUCCUCUCUCUAAAUAUAACAAUGAUAUGAGUUCAAAAUUAUCCCUGUAACCUUUUAGUCACUGCUUAACUGCUGUCUUUUCAACUUGAAUGAAUUUUCUCAGUACUUGCUGUGUCACCCUAUUGCUCCACCCUUACAUCUCUACCUCUUGCAGCCUGGCUCCCUCAAUGCCACUGAAAUUACCCAUGAUCUCUUAGAUCCAAAGGACCCUUUUCAGACCUUGCCUGGCUUCUCUCAAGCAUGCUGUUUGCCACUCCAUUCUUCUUGACAUUUUUCUCUCCUGUUGCACUUCAGGAUAGCACUCUCCCUUGGCACUUCUCUUGCCUUUAGCACUGAUUUUUAGAUUCUCUUGCUGGCUGCAUUUUUCCUCCCUCUCUUUCUACAGAGAUAUUCUGUCCUUAUUCUCCUUUCCCUUUCUAGUCUAAACACCAUCUUCCAUGAAUCUUAUCCUCCACCCUACUGCCUUGGGGAUCUCUCUAAUGUAACCUGAACAAGUCUUGGGGUCCCCAAUGCCUUUCUCAGCUUGCUGUGGCAUUAAAAAAAACACACCCCAGUAGCCAAAGGUAAUUAAAACAUUUCCAAUGUUCAUUUCUACAUCUUAAAAAUAUCAAAACAGGUCUUGUUCUUAAUCCUAGACACUAUCUCCUCAAAUCCUCCUCUAUUAUGCAGACAUUUAAAAAAUAAGAUAAAUAUAUAUGCACUGGCUUAGAAAGCUAGUGACCAGCAUAUACACUUAACUAAAAAACCACAAGUUGCAGACAAAUAUAACACAAUUCCAUCUGUAUUUUUCAAAAAGUAUAUGUGAGAAUAUAUAAGAAAAAUUUCAGCAUGAAAUACACAGAAAUAUUAAUUGGUGAUAGCCUUAAGGGAAGGUGAUAGUGGAAGAAGGGAGGAAGAUAGAGGAGUGGAGAGUUUUUACACACACAGGUUUUAUGGAUCAUUUUAACUUUUUGUGUUCAGUAUUUUUCAAAUAAAAAAAGUCUCUGAGAAGCUAGAAGCUUCCUACUAAAAGGAACAAGAUAAGGAUGUCCCCUCUUACCACUCUUUCAGCAUCAUACUGUUACUGGCUCUCCUAGCUAAUGCAGUAAGACAAUAAAAGUAAUAGAAAGUAUCCUGACUGGGAAAGAAGGAACAAAACUGUCUGUUUACAGAUGACAUGAUUGCCAUGCAGAAAGUUCAGAAGAAUCUACACACACACAAAAAAAAAAAAAAAAGAAAGAAAGAAAGAAAGAAAGAAAAACUGGGACAAAUAAAACUUAUCACAAGGUUGCAGGAUACAAGGCUAAUAUACAAGUCAAUUGCUUUCCUGUAUGCCAGCAAUGAACAAGUAGAAUUCAAAAUUAAAAAUAUAUUACUAUAAAUAUUGCUACCUCCAAAAUAUGACUUAAUUAUAAAUCUAAUAAAUUAUAUACAAGAUCUAUGUAAGAGAAGUGCAAAACUCUGACAAACCAAAGAAGAAUUAAAUAAAUGGAGAGAGAGUCCAUGUUCAUGGAUAGGAAGACAAUACUGUGAAGAUGUCAGUUAUUCCCAACUUGACCUACAGACUCAGUGCAAUAACAAUAAAAAAAUCCCAGCAAGCUCUUUUGUAGAUAUCAACAAACUGAUUCCAAAAUGUAUAUGGAGAGGCAAAAGACCCAGAAUGGCAAACAUGAUCUUGAAGGAGAGGAACAAAGUUGGAGGACUGAUACUACCUGAUUUCAAGAUCUACUAUAAAGCUGCAGCAACAAAGACAUGUGGUAUUGGCAAAAGAAUAGACAGAUCAAUGGAACAGAAUAGAGCCCAGAAGUAAACCCACAUAAAAAUACCAACUGAUCUUUAACAGAGGAGCAAAGACAAUACAAUGGACCAGAGGUAGUCUUUUCAACAAAUAGUCUUUUCAACAACUGGACAUCUAUAUGUAAAAAAUAUGAAUCUAGACACAGACUUCACACCUUUCACAAAAAUUAACUCGAAAUGUAAACUGCAAAACCAUAAAACUCCUAGCAGAUACGAUAGGAGAAAAUCUUGAUGACCAUGGACAUAGUGAUUGCUUUUUGGAAUACAAGAAAGGCAUAAUCCUUUAAAGAAAGAACUGGUAAGCUGGACUUAAACUAAAAAAAAAACUUCUUCUCUGUAUAAGACAUGAGAAUCAGAAGACAAGCCACAAACUGGAAGGAAAUAUUUUCAAAAGACAUAUCUGAUGAAGACUGUUAUCCAAAAUACAGAAAGAACCUUAAAACUCAAUAAUAAGAAACCAAAUACUCAAUUAAAAAAUUGGCCAAAGACCUGACAUCUCACCAAGAAGAUAUGCAGAUGGCAAAUAAGCCUAUGAAAAGAUGCUUAACAAGAUGUGUCCUCAGGAAAAUGCAAAUUAAAACAAUGAGAUGCCACUGCAUACUUAUUAGAAUGUCCAAAAUAAGAAACACCACCAAAUGCUAGCAAAGAUGUAGAGCAGUAGGAACUCUCAUUCAUUGCCAGUGGGAAUGCAAAAUGUUUCUUAUAAAACUCUUAAGCAUGCUCUUAACAUAUGACCCAGCACUUGUACCCCUUGCUAUUUACCCAAAUGAGUUGAAAACCUGUGGCCCCACAAGAACCUGCACACAGGUAUUUAUGGCAGCUUUAUUGAUAAUUGCCUAAACAUGGAAACAACCAAGAUGUCCUUCAGUAGAUGAAUGGAUAAACUGUGGGAUGUCCAGGUAAUAGAUUAUUAUUCUAUGCUAACAAAAUGAGCUACUAAACCAUGAAAAGACAUGGAGGAAUCUCAAAUACAUAUAACUAAGUGAAAUAAGCCAAUCUGAAAGACUAAAUACUA
Manis pentadactyla (Chinese pangolin) is the source of this 6794-nucleotide long non-coding RNA. RefSeq lists it as uncharacterized. NCBI's taxonomy places the organism in Eukaryota, Metazoa, Chordata, Mammalia, Pholidota, Manidae. The transcript is spliced from 3 exons. The record is from RefSeq and is a predicted model, not a curated record.